CGCUGGCGGCGUGCCUAAUACAUGCAAGUCGAACGCGCAGCGAAAGGUGCUUGCACCUUUCAAGCGAGUGGCGAACGGGUGAGUAACACGUGGAUAACCUGCCUCAAGGCUGGGGAUAACAUUUGGAAACAGAUGCUAAUACCGAAUAAAACUUAGUAUCGCAUGAUACAAAGUUGAAAGGCGCUACGGCGUCACCUAGAGAUGGGUCCGCGGUGCAUUAGUUAGUUGGUGGGGUAAAGGCCUACCAAGACAAUGAUGCAUAGCCGAGUUGAGAGACUGAUCGGCCACAUUGGGACUGAGACACGGCCCAAACUCCUACGGGAGGCUGCAGUAGGGAAUCUUCCACAAUGGGCGAAAGCCUGAUGGAGCAACGCCGCGUGUGUGAUGAAGGCUUUAGGGUCGUAAAGCACUGUUGUAUGGGAAGAAAUGCUAGAAUAGGGAAUGAUUCUAGUUCGACGGUACCAUACCAGAAAGGGACGGCUAAAUACGUGCCAGCAGCCGCGGUAAUACGUAUGUCCCGAGCGUUAUCCGGAUUUAUUGGGCGUAAAGCGAGCGCAGACGGUUGAUUAAGUCUGAUGUGAAAGCCCGGAGCUCAACUCCGGAAUGGCAUUGGAAACUGGUUAACUUGAGUGUUGUAGAGGUAAGUGGAACUCCAUGUGUAGCGGUGGAAUGCGUAGAUAUAUGGAAGAACACCAGUGGCGAAGGCGGCUUACUGGACAACAACUGACGUUGAGGCUCGAAAGUGUGGGUAGCAAACAGGAUUAGAUACCCUGGUAGUCCACACCGUAAACGAUGAAUACUAGGUGUUAGGAGGUUUCCGCCUCUUAGUGCCGAAGCUAACGCAUUAAGUA
Molecule: ribosomal RNA, 851 nt
Filed under: Leuconostoc lactis
Lineage: Bacteria; Bacillati; Bacillota; Bacilli; Lactobacillales; Lactobacillaceae
Description: bacterial SSU rRNA
Rfam family: Bacterial small subunit ribosomal RNA
Source: RNAcentral